RNAcentral lists this ribosomal RNA (746 nucleotides) under Bacillus subtilis. RNAcentral describes it as "bacterial SSU rRNA". It matches the Rfam family "Bacterial small subunit ribosomal RNA", at positions 34 to 762 of the family's 1533-position model. The record is from RNAcentral. Lineage: Bacteria; Bacillati; Bacillota; Bacilli; Caryophanales; Bacillaceae.
CGCUGGCGGCGUGCCUAAUACAUGCAAGUCGAGCGGACAGAUGGGAGCUUGCUCCCUGAUGUUAGCGGCGGACGGGUGAGUAACACGUGGGUAACCUGCCUGUAAGACUGGGAUAACUCCGGGAAACCGGGGCUAAUACCGGAUGGUUGUUUGAACCGCAUGGUUCAAACAUAAAAGGUGGCUUCGGCUACCACUUACAGAUGGACCCGCGGCGCAUUAGCUAGUUGGUGAGGUAACGGCUCACCAAGGCGACGAUGCGUAGCCGACCUGAGAGGGUGAUCGGCCACACUGGGACUGAGACACGGCCCAGACUCCUACGGGAGGCAGCAGUAGGGAAUCUUCCGCAAUGGACGAAAGUCUGACGGAGCAACGCCGCGUGAGUGAUGAAGGUUUUCGGAUCGUAAAGCUCUGUUGUUAGGGAAGAACAAGUACCGUUCGAAUAGGGCGGUACCUUGACGGUACCUAACCAGAAAGCCACGGCUAACUACGUGCCAGCAGCCGCGGUAAUACGUAGGUGGCAAGCGUUGUCCGGAAUUAUUGGGCGUAAAGGGCUCGCAGGCGGUUUCUUAAGUCUGAUGUGAAAGCCCCCGGCUCAACCGGGGAGGGUCAUUGGAAACUGGGGAACUUGAGUGCAGAAGAGGAGAGUGGAAUUCCACGUGUAGCGGUGAAAUGCGUAGAGAUGUGGAGGAACACCAGUGGCGAAGGCGACUCUCUGGUCUGUAACUGACGCUGAGGAGCGAAAGCGU